UCACAGCAACAUCGAGACUAGUAUUUGAUCAAAAAACCGGGCACCUUAGCCUAGACAAAUUGAUACAUAAAAUUAACCAUCACAAAGAUGCUAUAUGAUUUUUUGCACAUGACUCAAGAGUUCUAAAACCUGGGAGUUCUCAUUGUGGCUCAGCGGGUUAGGAACCUGACUAGUAUACAUGAGGAUGGGGGUUUGCUCCCUGGCCUCUCUCAUUGUUGUUGCUGCAGUCUACAGUGUUGGUCACAAAAUGCAGCUAGGAUCUGGUGUUGCUGUGGCUGUGGUGUAGGCUGGCAACUACUGCUCUGAUUCAACUCUUAGCCUGGGAACUCCAUAUGCUGCAGAUAUGACCCUAAAAGAUUAAAAAAAAAAAAAAGAGUUCUAAAAACUGAAUGACAUUAAUAUAGCAAAACUUGUAUUCCUAAAGUGAGAGCUGAAUUGAUAUUUAACUCUGACUUUUUCUAACAAUAACUAAUAUUCAACCAUGCCUACAUGAGGUAAUUUGUAAAAAAUUUCCAUCUAUCUCCCUAAAAAUUCAUUUUCUUAAUAAUUACAUGUCAAAAUGUAUAAUAUAUAUUUGUACUGUUUAAUUCAAUUGUGUACUCCUAACAGUAAUAAAAAAACUCAUUUCAAAGAAUCUUCAAUAGUUAGACUCUUAUGGACACAAAUAUUUAACAAAUGAUCUCCAAAUGAGUAUACAUAAUUUUACUACAGAGUAAUCUGAUGAUUAAGAAAAGGUUUUUAAGCAUAAAAUUAUAUUAAGUUAGAGUAAAAUUCUUUUCCCUAUUAACAGCUAAUUUUUAUUUUUAUUUUUGUUUUUUAAAUUUAUUUUUUAUUGAUAUUUCCCCCAACAAAUUUUUUUUUCCACUAUACAGCAUGGGGACCCAUUACACAUACAUGAUAAAUAAUUCUUUUUUUCACAUUAUCAUGCUCCAUCAUAAGUGACUAGAUAUAGUUCCCAGUGUUCUACAGCAGGAUCUCAUUGCUUAUCCAUUCCAAAGGCAAUAGUCUGCAUCUAUUAACCCCAAGUUCCCAAUCCAUCCCACUCCCUCCGCCUCCCCUUUGGCAACCACGAGUCUAUUCUCUUAGCAGAUAGUAAAGAAAAAAAUAUUAGAAGACAAGUCUCAUAUGUCUUGAGAACACAAAAGACAUUUCCAUCUAAAAAUAAAUUUGUACUAAACAAAGGAAACUUUUCAAGUUCUCAGCUCUACACAAUAUAUUGCUUAAAUGGGACUGAACCUUAGAUGUCAUCUGAUUCCAUUCCAUUGUUACAACUGAGGAAAUUAGUCCCCAAAAAGGUAAUAAGAGUAUCUCCACCUCCUCCAAUGUCUGAUUACAUCAUGAUGUAGAGAUGUCUUGAGAAGGGAAUUAGGCACAUCAUCUUGUUCUGAGAAAAAUAUGAGGCAAAUAUACAGCCUC
This 1416-nucleotide long non-coding RNA is filed under the name Sus scrofa (pig). RNAcentral describes it as "lncRNA (ENSSSCG00040024198.1)". The record is from RNAcentral. Lineage: Eukaryota; Metazoa; Chordata; Mammalia; Artiodactyla; Suidae.